AUGCAAGCAAACUUCCAUCAAAAUCAGCACAAUCAUUUUCUGGGUCCUCUACAACAUCAUGAGCAAGAGAACAAUGUCCAGCCUCAGCAACCUGAUCUGAAUCUCCAGCUAGCACCUAUUUUAGUAGAAGACAAUGAGGAAGAGGAUCUAGAAAUGCCUGGGUGGGGUCAUUGGGCCCUGCCUGCUGUGAAUGAACUUGUUGAUCAGGAACUUCAUGCUGGUGAAUUUAUGCAGCUCCAGGAGAUUAUGGAACCCAUGGAGGAAGCUCAGGAGCAUCAGGAGAUCAUUGGUCAAGGUAAUAGUAACAUCACUGUUUCUCAGGAGCCACCUAAUGACAGUGUUGAGACAACUGCUUCUGCUAAUGGGCCUUUGGCGCCAUUUCUACCUGAUUUGAAUUUGGUGGUUGGGCCUUCUGAGUAG
This 420-nucleotide ribosomal RNA is filed under the name Triticum aestivum (bread wheat). Its description in RNAcentral is "partial small subunit ribosomal RNA". Lineage: Eukaryota; Viridiplantae; Streptophyta; Magnoliopsida; Poales; Poaceae. The record is from RNAcentral.